Molecule: transfer RNA, 85 nt
Filed under: Candidatus Harrisonbacteria bacterium CG10_big_fil_rev_8_21_14_0_10_42_17
Lineage: Bacteria; Candidatus Harrisoniibacteriota
Description: tRNA-Ser
Rfam family: tRNA
About the family: Transfer RNA (tRNA) molecules are approximately 80 nucleotides in length.
Source: RNAcentral
GGAGGGUUGGCAGAAUGGUAAUGCAGCGGUCUUGAAAACCGCCGGGCGCAAGCCCUUAGAGGUUCGAGCCCUCUACCCUCCGCCA